GAGUUUGAUCCUGGCUCAGGAUGAACGCUGGCGGCGUGCCUAACACAUGCAAGUCGAACGAGCGAGAGAGAGUUUACUUUUUCGAGCGAGUGGCGAACGGGUGAGUAACGCGUGAGGAACCUGCCCUGGAGUGGGGGACAACAGUUGGAAACGACUGCUAAUACCGCAUAAGACCACGGUACCGCAUGGUACUGGGGGAAAAGGAUUUAUUCGCUUCAGGAUGGACUCGCGUCCAAUUAGCUAGUUGGUGAGGUAACGGCCCACCAAGGCGACGAUUGGUAGCCGGACUGAGAGGUUGAACGGCCACAUUGGGACUGAGACACGGCCCAGACUCCUACGGGAGGCAGCAGUGGGGGAUAUUGCACAAUGGGGGAAACCCUGAUGCAGCGACGCCGCGUGGAGGAAGAAGGUUUUCGGAUUGUAAACUCCUGUCGUUAGGGACGAUAAUGACGGUACCUAACAAGAAAGCACCGGCUAACUACGUGCCAGCCGCCGCGGUAAUAC
RNAcentral lists this ribosomal RNA (504 nucleotides) under uncultured bacterium. RNAcentral describes it as "bacterial SSU rRNA". It matches the Rfam family "Bacterial small subunit ribosomal RNA", at positions 9 to 526 of the family's 1533-position model. The record is from RNAcentral.